UUUUCGCAAUGCCCGAAAGGGUGACGAAGCGACGCCGCGUGGGUGAGGAAGGCCUUCGGGUUGUAAAACCCUGUCAGGAGUUAUGAAAUGUAAGUGCGCUAAUAUCGUGCUUAUUUGACAAAGGCUCCAAAGGAAGCCACGGCUAACUCUGUGCCAGCAGCCGCGGUAAUACAGAGGUGGCGAGCGUUGUUCGGAAUUAUUGGGCGUAAAGAGCACGUAGGUGGGUUUGCAAGUCAGAUGUGAAAGCCUUCUGUUCAACGGAAGAAUUGCAUCUGAAACUGCUAAUCUUGAGUAUAGGAGGGGAGAAUGGAACUUCUGGUGGAGCGGUGAAAUGCGUAGAUAUCAGAAGGAACGCCGGCGGCGAAAGCGAUUCUCUGGCCUAUUACUGACACUCAGUGUGCGAAAGCUAGGGGAGCAAACGGGAUUAGAUACCCCGGUAGUCCUAGCCGUAAACGAUGGGCACUAAGUAGAGGGGUU
RNAcentral lists this ribosomal RNA (477 nucleotides) under uncultured anaerobic ammonium-oxidizing bacterium. RNAcentral's name for it is "bacterial SSU rRNA". It matches the Rfam family "Bacterial small subunit ribosomal RNA", at positions 363 to 830 of the family's 1533-position model. The record is from RNAcentral.